Molecule: ribosomal RNA, 253 nt
Filed under: uncultured bacterium
Lineage: Bacteria
Description: partial 16S ribosomal RNA
Rfam family: Bacterial small subunit ribosomal RNA
Source: RNAcentral
AACGUAGGGUCCGAGCGUUAUCCGGAUUUACUGGGCGUAAAGCGCGUUCAGGCGGUUUGGCAAGUCGGGCAUGAAAUCUCUCGGCUCAACCGGGAGAGGUUGUCCGAUACUGCUGGACUUGAGGGCAGUAGAGGGUGGUGGAAUUCCGGGUGUAGUGGUGAAAUGCGUAGAUAUCCGGAGGAACACCAGUGGCGAAAGCGGCUACCUGGACUGCACCUGACGCUGACACGCGAAAGCUAGGGGAGCGAACGGG